Long non-coding RNA from Manis pentadactyla (Chinese pangolin), 2029 nucleotides. RefSeq lists it as uncharacterized. Lineage: Eukaryota; Metazoa; Chordata; Mammalia; Pholidota; Manidae. The record is from RefSeq and is a predicted model, not a curated record. The transcript is spliced from 3 exons.
CAAGCGCAGAGCACGUGGCACUCUCAUUCCCACUCCAGUCCCAUCCCUCAACAGCCUCAUCAGGAUCGGUGUUCAACUUGCCAGGCAUCUGGAGAGGCUCUGGGGGCCAAGAGGGCAGUGGAAGAGAGAGCCUGCAGAGCCACAUAGAGCCAACUUAUUCUGGUCUUGUGCACCUGGAGCUGCCUACAUUUUUAACCCUGUGAGGCACCCAGAAACUUCAGAGAACAAAGUCACUGGCAGAAAGAGAUGCCAUGGAUGCACAAGUGUUGGCUAGGAAGGCUGUCUCCCCCCAUUUCCUCCUGCCUGGGCCAGGAAGUCUGAGGAGGAACGGGACCGAGAUGGUAUCUCUGGGACUCCAUGCUUCUGAUUCCAUUCCAAGUCAAAUGCCAGUGAUUUCUUUAAUGAUGUAUAGUUAAAUCCACCAUGGCUUUCCUCCAGUCAAGUGGGCUUCAGUGGAGGUUAAGUGGGAGACGGGGUGGGGGGUGCUGAGGUGCACCACGCAUGUGACCCAGAGCUGACCCUCAAUAAAUGUGAGUCCCCUUUGCUUUCUUUCUAGAGGGGGUACUAAAAAGUUAAGCAUGCCGUUAAAACCACCACCACUAGCACCACUGCCGACCUGCAAGGGACAAUGAUCAAGUUCACAGACAGGAAUUUGUCAGAGGUUUCCUCAAAACACACUGUAUCUGGCCGUCCAUGUGGGGCAAGGUCUGGGAAUGAGUUUCAGCGACAGGAAUUCAUUGGAGGGGCAACCACUGAAAACGAGGGUGGUCCGGGCCCCCAUGGGGGUGAAGCCGGCUCCUUUCCCAGGUCGUGUCCCUCAGUCUGGGCAACCUUGGGGUGGGUGGCAGAGCUCCGGGAAAAGCCUGAGGAAAACCCCACAGGGCGGUGGGGCUGGGGAGAGAAGGGCCUGCUGCCCUUCAUCCAGGCGAGGAGGCUCAUUUCUUAGCCUCCACGCCUCCCGCCUCCCACCUGCGAGCAGAGGUGGUGCUGACACUAGUGGGGGAUCUGAGCUUCAUCGCCCGACUUCAGUGUAGUCUGAAAAACUAGAUUAAAACCUGACCCUCGCACAGCUCCCUCUAAGAGCACAGCUGUGUGGCCAUUUCAUUUCCUCGAUCAGACUGAAAUCGUGACCCAGCAUAAGGUGGGUGAGACACCGAGAAGAGCCUCGGACACGCAGUGGACUGGCGCUGGAGUGGGCGUGGGCAAGUGCGCCCCUGCCGUGAAUCAGAGCCCUCGCCUGUUUUGGCACUGCUGGUGAGCAAAGAAUGACUUUUACAUUUUUUAAAUGGUUGAAAAAAAAGUCAAAAGAAGAAUGAUAUUUGGUGAUGUGUGAAAAUUAUAUAAAAUUCAAAUUUCAGUGUCCAUAAAUAAAAUUUUAUUGGAAAGGGCCAUGCUCAUCUGUCUGCACACUGCCUGUGGCUGCUCAUGAUACAGGCGUAGUGGCGUGGUCGUGGGACCGCAUGGCCCACAAAGCCUGAAAUAAUCUCUGACCCUUCACAGAGAACGUUUGCUGAGCCCUGCGCCAGGGAAUGGUGUGUGCGAGGCUGUGUGGCAUCUCUCCCUGGACAUGCUUACGAGGGGGCUGAGGGAGGUUGGGUUUGGGGGUGAGGGGCAGGUCAGAUCAGCCCAGCAAGGCCCCCCUGCAGGCAGUGACACCUGACACUGCCCUGCUCCUGAGCCCAGGCAGUGCCUCCCAGGAAUGACUCUGGAGCAGCUCAGGGCUCCGCAGAAAAGCAACGAGUUGGCACCUUGUCACUUUGCUUCAGAAGGUUCUUCACCGUGUCUUGCUCAAGUCUUUAUGUUGCCGUCACCAUUCUCCCCAUGAUCCUGGGGAGUCACUGAGCCAGAGGGGGAACAACCCCCACGUCUGACAGCAAGUGAAGGCCAGGGAAAGAAUGAGCUGGGGUCUGGCUCCCAUAGCGUCUGCGCUGACUGACGGCAUCUUUUCUGUUGAAGACGUCACCCCCAGUGGGGCAGGCCCUAACCCAAGACAGGGAGCUCAUGCCAUUUGUCAUUCCAGAUGCGUGGG